GUGCUCACUCUGUCAGCACAUAUACUACAAUUGGACCAGUAGAGAGAAGAUUAGUAUAGCCCCCGAGCAUGGUUGACUCACAACUUUGUGAAGCAUUCCAUAUUUUG
Small nuclear RNA from Choloepus hoffmanni (Hoffmann's two-fingered sloth), 107 nucleotides. The record is from Ensembl. NCBI's taxonomy places the organism in Eukaryota, Metazoa, Chordata, Mammalia, Pilosa, Megalonychidae.